Molecule: ribosomal RNA, 497 nt
Filed under: uncultured bacterium
Lineage: Bacteria
Description: bacterial SSU rRNA
Rfam family: Bacterial small subunit ribosomal RNA
Source: RNAcentral
ACUCAAAUGAAUAGACGGGGGCCCGCACAAGCGGCGGAGCAUGUUGCUUAAUUCGACGCAACGCGAAGAACCUUACCAAGGUUUGACAUGGACGGAAAUCCUCCAGAGAUGGGGGGUCCUUCGGGGCCGUUCACAGGUGGUGCAUGGCUGUCGUCAGCUCGUGUCGUGAGAUGUUGGGUUAAGUCCCGCAACGAGCGCAACCCUCGUCCCAUGUUGCCAGCAGGUAAAGCUGGGGACUCAUGGGAGACUGCCGGGGUCAACUCGGAGGAAGGUGGGGAUGACGUCAAGUCAUCAUGCCCCUUAUGUCUUGGGCUGCAAACAUGCUACAAUGGCCGGUACAAAGGGCUGCGAGCCUGUGAGGGUGAGCGAAUCCCGGAAAGCCGGUCUCAGUUCGGAUCGGGGUCUGCAACUCGGCCCCGUGAAGCCGGAGUCGCUAGUAAUCGCGGAUCAGCAACGCCGCGGUGAAUACGUUCCCGGGCCUUGCACACACCGCCCGU